Molecule: ribosomal RNA, 492 nt
Filed under: uncultured bacterium
Lineage: Bacteria
Description: partial 16S ribosomal RNA
Rfam family: Bacterial small subunit ribosomal RNA
Source: RNAcentral
AGUGAACGCUGGCGGUAGGCCUAACACAUGCAAGUCGAACGGCAGCACAGUAAGAGCUUGCUCUUACGGGUGGCGAGUGGCGGACGGGUGAGGAAUACAUCGGAAUCUACUUUUUCGUGGGGGAUAACGUAGGGAAACUUACGCUAAUACCGCAUACGACCUACGGGUUAAAGCAGGGGAUCUUCGCACCUUGCGCGAUUGAAUGAGCCGAUGUCGGAUUAGCUAGUUGGCGGGGUAAAGGCCCACCAAGGCAACGAUCCGUAGCUGGUCUGAGAGGAUGAUCAGCCACACUGGAACUGAGACACGGUCCAGACUCCUACGGGAGGCAGCAGUAGGGAAUAUUGGGCAAUGGGCGCAAGCCUGAUCCAGCCAUACCGCGUGAGUGAAGAAGGCCUUCGGGUUGUAAAGCCCUUUUGUUGGGAAAGAAAAGCAGCGGGUUAAUACCCCGCUGUUCUGACGGUACCCAAAGAAUAAGCACCGGCUAACUUCGUG